CAAUAGCGUAUAUUAACGUUGUUGCAGUUAAAAAGCUCGUAGUUGGAUUUCUGGAGGGAGCGUCGGCCCGUAUUUACGAGUGCGUGACGUCUCUGUCCAUCCUUGCGGGAAGGCACGGCAUUGAUUUGUUGUGUCGGAUCGCAUCAUUUACUGUGAAAAAAUUAGAGUGUUCAAAGCAGGCUUUCGCUUGAAUACAUUAGCAUGGAAUAAUAAGAUAGGACUUUGGUGCUAUUUUGUUGGUUGAGCCUAAAGUAAUGAUUAAUAGGGAUAGUUGGGGGCACCUGUAUUGCGUUGUCAGAGGUGAAAUUCUUGGAUUUACGCAAGACAAACAGCUGCGAAANCGNNNGCCAGGGAUGUUUUCAUNAA
This 366-nucleotide ribosomal RNA is filed under the name uncultured eukaryote. RNAcentral's name for it is "partial 18S ribosomal RNA". It matches the Rfam family "Eukaryotic small subunit ribosomal RNA", at positions 592 to 976 of the family's 1831-position model. The record is from RNAcentral.